GGCAGCCGCGGUAAUUCCAGCUCCAAUAGCGUAUAUUAAAGUUGUUGCAGUUAAAAAGCUCGUAGUUGAAUUUCGGGAUCAAUUUGCUGGUCGUGCCUCUGGUACGUACUGGUAUUAUUGGUUUCUCCCUUCUGACGAACCAUGAUGUCAUUAAUUUGAUGUCGUGGAGAAUCAGGACUGUUACUUUGAAAAAAUUAGAGUGUUUAAAGCAGGCAUUAGCUUGAAUACAUUAGCAUGGAAUAAUGAAAUAGGACGUUUGAUCCUAUUUUGUUGGUUUCUAGGAUUGACGUAAUGAUUAAUAGGGAUAGUUGGGGGCAUUAGUAUUCAAUUGUCAGAGGUGAAAUUCUUGGAUUUAUUGAAGACUAACUACUGCGAAAGCAUUUGCCAAGGAUGUUUUCAUUAAUCAAGAACGAAAGUUAGGGGAUCGAAGACGAUCAGAUACCGUCGUAGUCUUAACCAUAAACUAUGCCGACUAGGGAUCGGAUGAUGUUAAUUUCUUAAUGACUCAUUCGGCGCCUUACG
This 522-nucleotide ribosomal RNA is filed under the name uncultured Glomeraceae. RNAcentral describes it as "SSU rRNA". It matches the Rfam family "Eukaryotic small subunit ribosomal RNA", at positions 569 to 1092 of the family's 1831-position model. Lineage: Eukaryota; Fungi; Glomeromycota; Glomeromycetes; Glomerales; Glomeraceae. The record is from RNAcentral.